UACGAAGGGGGCUAGCGUUGCUCGGAAUCACCGGGCGUAAAGCGCACGUAGGCGGCUUGUUAAGUCAGGGGUGAAAUCCUGGAGCUCAACUCCAGAACUGCCUUUGAUACUGGCGAGCUUGAGUUCGGGAGAGGUGAGUGGAACUGCGAGUGUAGAGGUGAAAUUCGUAGAUAUUCGCAAGAACACCAGUGGCGAAGGCGGCUCACUGGCCCGAUACUGACGCUGAGGUGCGAAAGCGUGGGGAGCAAACAGG
RNAcentral lists this ribosomal RNA (253 nucleotides) under uncultured bacterium. Its description in RNAcentral is "partial 16S ribosomal RNA". It matches the Rfam family "Bacterial small subunit ribosomal RNA", at positions 524 to 776 of the family's 1533-position model. The record is from RNAcentral.